This 93-nucleotide transfer RNA is filed under the name Entamoeba invadens. RNAcentral describes it as "tRNA-Leu". It matches the Rfam family "tRNA". From Rfam's summary of the family: Transfer RNA (tRNA) molecules are approximately 80 nucleotides in length. The record is from RNAcentral. Lineage: Eukaryota; Evosea; Mastigamoebida; Endamoebidae. RNAcentral also lists the same sequence under 1 other name.
GCAGCUGUAGUUUAGAUGGUAAAACGCUCAAUUUAAUUUAAAUGAAAAUCAAAUCAAAAUCGAGAUUCGUGGGUUCAACUCCCAUCAGUUGCG